UUGUGAUAGAGAUCGCAAUAUAUCUCAUUACCAGUCAGAAUAGAACCUAUGGGGUCACACACACUAGAAGUAUUGACCGAUCCGAUGGUUGAAAAGUGAUUAUGAAUCACGAGUAAUCAAUUCGAUUGAUAAUAAGUUGAAGAAGGAACAAUGGGAAUUGAUUAAUUGGACUUAAAACACAAAUCCUACUUAGAGUAGGAUU
Molecule: long non-coding RNA, 202 nt
Filed under: Phoenix dactylifera (date palm)
Lineage: Eukaryota; Viridiplantae; Streptophyta; Magnoliopsida; Arecales; Arecaceae
Description: long non-coding RNA (PDAC_LNC018130)
Source: RNAcentral